GUCUAUAGCCAUAACACCCUGAAUGCACCUGAUCUUGUCUGAUCUUGGAAGCUAAGCAGAGUCGGGCCUCGUUAGUACUUGGAUGGCAGAGAGAGAGGACGUAACGGGAGGGGCAGAGA
Molecule: non-coding RNA, 119 nt
Organism: Felis catus (domestic cat)
Lineage: Eukaryota; Metazoa; Chordata; Mammalia; Carnivora; Felidae
Source: Rfam